This 406-nucleotide ribosomal RNA is filed under the name uncultured bacterium. RNAcentral's name for it is "partial 16S ribosomal RNA". It matches the Rfam family "Bacterial small subunit ribosomal RNA", at positions 29 to 526 of the family's 1533-position model. The record is from RNAcentral.
AUUGAACGCUGGCGGCAGGCCUAACACAUGCAAGUCGAACGAGUGGCGGACGGGUGAGUAAUGUCUGGGAAACUGCCCGAUGGAGGGGGAUAACUACUGGAAACGGUAGCUAAUACCGCAUACCAUCGGAUGUGCCCAGAUGGGAGUAGCUAGUAGGGGGGGUAACGGGUAACCUAGGCGACGAUCCCUAGCUGGUCUGAUAGGAUGCGCAGCCAAACUGGAACUGAGACACGGUCCAGACUCCUACGGGAGGCAGCAGUGGGGAAUAUUGCACAAUGGGCGCAAGCCUGAGGCAGCCAUGCCGCGUGUAUGAAGAAGGCCGUCGGGUUGUAAAGUACUUUCAGCGGGGAGGCGUUACCCGCAGAAGAAGCACCGGCUAACUCCGUGCCAGCAGCCGCGGUAAUAC